CUCCGUAGCUAGACAGCAAACCGGCUCCGUAUGCGCGAAGUUCCCCGUUUUGUUUGCACAACCCAAAUUCGACAGUGAACCAAUACAUCUACGUCGCAAACAAAAACAAAUUCAUAGGAGCGUGUUUAUGUAUCAAAUCGCAAUAUUAUAUGGGCUUACGGUUCCGGAGAGUGAUACGGAGAGGAAGAAUGACGAAUGUAUCUGGUAUAAAAUAAAUAAAUGAUAAUUAAAAUUGA
Daphnia carinata is the source of this 236-nucleotide long non-coding RNA. RefSeq lists it as uncharacterized. The transcript has 2 exons. The record is from RefSeq and is a predicted model, not a curated record. Lineage: Eukaryota; Metazoa; Arthropoda; Branchiopoda; Diplostraca; Daphniidae.